Molecule: long non-coding RNA, 239 nt
Filed under: Lathyrus oleraceus (garden pea)
Lineage: Eukaryota; Viridiplantae; Streptophyta; Magnoliopsida; Fabales; Fabaceae
Description: Pisum sativum (pea) long non-coding RNA (PSAT_LNC019695)
Source: RNAcentral
CGUCUUCUAUUGUGUCUCAUGUGGUCCGUUCUACCGUCACCGUUGAUUAGUUUUCAUGAUAAUUUAUAUUUUUUAUUUAUUUUUAUUUAAGAUUUGUUGGCUUUUAGAUUUGUGCAUAAUAUAUGGCGGAAUAUAAUACGGGAGAGGAUCCAUUUUCUUCGCUAUCAGCCACUAAAGUUUAAUAUGGUCGCUAUUUGUUUUGGCGAUUGACAAAGCGACAACCUAUUUUUAGAUGCUAG